Molecule: ribosomal RNA, 2787 nt
Filed under: human gut metagenome
Description: bacterial LSU rRNA
Rfam family: Bacterial large subunit ribosomal RNA
Source: RNAcentral
AGCGUACACGGUGGAUGCCCUGGCAGUCAGAGGCGAUGAAGGACGUGCUAAUCUGCGAUAAGCGUCGGUAAGGUGAUAUGAACCGUUAUAACCGGCGAUUUCCGAAUGGGGAAACCCAGUGUGUUUCGACACACUAUCAUUAACUGAAUCCAUAGGUUAAUGAGGCGAACCGGGGGAACUGAAACAUCUAAGUACCCCGAGGAAAAGAAAUCAACCGAGAUUCCCCCAGUAGCGGCGAGCGAACGGGGAGCAGCCCAGAGCCUGAAUCAGUGUGUGUGUUAGUGGAAGCGUCUGGAAAGGCGCGCGAUACAGGGUGACAGCCCCGUACACAAAAAUGCACAUGCUGUGAGCUCGAUGAGUAGGGCGGGACACGUGGUAUCCUGUCUGAAUAUGGGGGGACCAUCCUCCAAGGCUAAAUACUCCUGACUGACCGAUAGUGAACCAGUACCGUGAGGGAAAGGCGAAAAGAACCCCGGCGAGGGGAGUGAAAAAGAACCUGAAACCGUGUACGUACAAGCAGUGGGAGCACGCUUAGGCGUGUGACUGCGUACCUUUUGUAUAAUGGGUCAGCGACUUAUAUUCUGUAGCAAGGUUAACCGAAUAGGGGAGCCGAAGGGAAACCGAGUCUUAACUGGGCGUUAAGUUGCAGGGUAUAGACCCGAAACCCGGUGAUCUAGCCAUGGGCAGGUUGAAGGUUGGGUAACACUAACUGGAGGACCGAACCGACUAAUGUUGAAAAAUUAGCGGAUGACUUGUGGCUGGGGGUGAAAGGCCAAUCAAACCGGGAGAUAGCUGGUUCUCCCCGAAAGCUAUUUAGGUAGCGCCUCGUGAAUUCAUCUCCGGGGGUAGAGCACUGUUUCGGCAAGGGGGUCAUCCCGACUUACCAACCCGAUGCAAACUGCGAAUACCGGAGAAUGUUAUCACGGGAGACACACGGCGGGUGCUAACGUCCGUCGUGAAGAGGGAAACAACCCAGACCGCCAGCUAAGGUCCCAAAGUCAUGGUUAAGUGGGAAACGAUGUGGGAAGGCCCAGACAGCCAGGAUGUUGGCUUAGAAGCAGCCAUCAUUUAAAGAAAGCGUAAUAGCUCACUGGUCGAGUCGGCCUGCGCGGAAGAUGUAACGGGGCUAAACCAUGCACCGAAGCUGCGGCAGCGACGCUUAUGCGUUGUUGGGUAGGGGAGCGUUCUGUAAGCCUGUGAAGGUGUGCUGUGAGGCAUGCUGGAGGUAUCAGAAGUGCGAAUGCUGACAUAAGUAACGAUAAAGCGGGUGAAAAGCCCGCUCGCCGGAAGACCAAGGGUUCCUGUCCAACGUUAAUCGGGGCAGGGUGAGUCGACCCCUAAGGCGAGGCCGAAAGGCGUAGUCGAUGGGAAACAGGUUAAUAUUCCUGUACUUGGUGUUACUGCGAAGGGGGGACGGAGAAGGCUAUGUUGGCCGGGCGACGGUUGUCCCGGUUUAAGCGUGUAGGCUGGUUUUCCAGGCAAAUCCGGAAAAUCAAGGCUGAGGCGUGAUGACGAGGCACUACGGUGCUGAAGCAACAAAUGCCCUGCUUCCAGGAAAAGCCUCUAAGCAUCAGGUAACAUCAAAUCGUACCCCAAACCGACACAGGUGGUCAGGUAGAGAAUACCAAGGCGCUUGAGAGAACUCGGGUGAAGGAACUAGGCAAAAUGGUGCCGUAACUUCGGGAGAAGGCACGCUGAUAUGUAGGUGAAGUCCCUUGCGGAUGGAGCUGAAAUCAGUCGAAGAUACCAGCUGGCUGCAACUGUUUAUUAAAAACACAGCACUGUGCAAACACGAAAGUGGACGUAUACGGUGUGACGCCUGCCCGGUGCCGGAAGGUUAAUUGAUGGGGUCAGCGCAAGCGAAGCUCUUGAUCGAAGCCCCGGUAAACGGCGGCCGUAACUAUAACGGUCCUAAGGUAGCGAAAUUCCUUGUCGGGUAAGUUCCGACCUGCACGAAUGGCGUAAUGAUGGCCAGGCUGUCUCCACCCGAGACUCAGUGAAAUUGAACUCGCUGUGAAGAUGCAGUGUACCCGCGGCAAGACGGAAAGACCCCGUGAACCUUUACUAUAGCUUGACACUGAACAUUGAGCCUUGAUGUGUAGGAUAGGUGGGAGGCUUUGAAGUGUGGACGCCAGUCUGCAUGGAGCCGACCUUGAAAUACCACCCUUUAAUGUUUGAUGUUCUAACGUUGACCCGUAAUCCGGGUUGCGGACAGUGUCUGGUGGGUAGUUUGACUGGGGCGGUCUCCUCCUAAAGAGUAACGGAGGAGCACGAAGGUUGGCUAAUCCUGGUCGGACAUCAGGAGGUUAGUGCAAUGGCAUAAGCCAGCUUGACUGCGAGCGUGACGGCGCGAGCAGGUGCGAAAGCAGGUCAUAGUGAUCCGGUGGUUCUGAAUGGAAGGGCCAUCGCUCAACGGAUAAAAGGUACUCCGGGGAUAACAGGCUGAUACCGCCCAAGAGUUCAUAUCGACGGCGGUGUUUGGCACCUCGAUGUCGGCUCAUCACAUCCUGGGGCUGAAGUAGGUCCCAAGGGUAUGGCUGUUCGCCAUUUAAAGUGGUACGCGAGCUGGGUUUAGAACGUCGUGAGACAGUUCGGUCCCUAUCUGCCGUGGGCGCUGGAGAACUGAGGGGGGCUGCUCCUAGUACGAGAGGACCGGAGUGGACGCAUCACUGGUGUUCGGGUUGUCAUGCCAAUGGCACUGCCCGGUAGCUAAAUGCGGAAGAGAUAAGUGCUGAAAGCAUCUAAGCACGAAACUUGCCCCGAGAUGAGUUCUCCCUGACUCCUUGA